GAUUAAGUUUCAGUAAAAAAAAAGUUUCAGUAAAUUACACUAUCUUGCUGGUGUCCACAAUGGUGAAUGCCAUUGGCAUAUCCUUUUGGACACCAUGCAAUCACACAUGGAGACACAGAUAAGAGUAGGAAAGUGGAGAGGGGAGGAAAUGGGGAAAGCACAAAAGCAAAAAAAGGGGAGAGUGGGUACUUUGCAUCUUGAUGGAUGAAAGUUGAUUGCCUCCAGCUUUUCUCAAAUAACCAGGUCAUUCAAUGCGGCGUUAGGUUUUAAACUUGAGCAUUUGCAGUCUUGCAUCACCUAAUAAUUAUUGAUUAGCUUUCCUGUUUUGUCUGUACCAAUUCCCAGUUAAUGGGCAAAUAUAAGAAAUCGGCAACAGCAGCAGGUCUAAAUUAAGGUUAAACAAAAAAUAAAAAUUCCAUUCUGAAAGAUGUUACCUCCAAGCAUUGGCUUUGUUCCUUCUUUGUGAAAUUUUUUUUUUCUAAUACUCAAUAUGGGCCAUGUUAGACAUGAAAUUGGAGGAUUAAAUCUCAAAACUGUACUUAACCUGGUUGAGUUUGGUUGCUAGCUCUACCGUGUAUGCAGCCUGACCUGGCACAAAAAAUGCUUACUCAUCCCACAAAGAAGACUUAUGCUACAUGAUAUUAGAAACAGACAAUAUGAUUUUUUCCAAGAGUCGUAACUUUGAUGUUGCCUUUAUAGAUGAAACUAUGGAGGAUUGUAUUGAU
This 725-nucleotide long non-coding RNA is filed under the name Musa acuminata (dwarf banana). RNAcentral's name for it is "long non-coding RNA (MACU_LNC000302)". Lineage: Eukaryota; Viridiplantae; Streptophyta; Magnoliopsida; Zingiberales; Musaceae. The record is from RNAcentral.